This 312-nucleotide unclassified non-coding RNA is filed under the name Hevea brasiliensis (rubber tree). Lineage: Eukaryota; Viridiplantae; Streptophyta; Magnoliopsida; Malpighiales; Euphorbiaceae. The record is from RNAcentral.
GAGGAUGUACCAGGAGCUCUGGAAAGGUGGCACGACGCGGGCAUAAAGGUAUACAUAUAUUCAAGCGGCAGUAGGUUAGCACAGAGGCUUCUAUUUGGAAAUACAAAAUAUGGGGAUCUAAGAAAAUAUUUGUCUGGAUAUUUCGAUACCGCAGUGGGGAACAAAAGAGAAAUGCGCAGUUAUGUUGAAAUCAGAGAGUCUGUUGGAGUUGAUAAGCCAUCAGAAAUUUUGUUUGUCACUGAUGUUUUCCAGGAAGCUGUAGCUGCAAAAGCAGCAGGACUGGAUGUGAAUAUAUCCAUACGACCCGGAAAC